This 497-nucleotide ribosomal RNA is filed under the name uncultured bacterium. RNAcentral describes it as "partial 16S ribosomal RNA". It matches the Rfam family "Bacterial small subunit ribosomal RNA", at positions 28 to 507 of the family's 1533-position model. The record is from RNAcentral.
GAUGAACGCUGGCGGCGUGCCUAAUACAUGCAAGUCGAGCGAACGGACGAGAAGCUUGCUUCUCUGACGUUAGCGGCGGACGGGUGAGUAACACGUGGAUAACCUACCUAUAAGACUGGGAUAACUUCGGGAAACCGGAGCUAAUACCGGAUAAUAUUUUGAACCGCAUGGUUCAAAAGUGAAAGACGGUCUUGCUGUCACUUAUAGAUGGAUCCGCGCUGCAUUAGCUAGUUGGUAAGGUAACGGCUUACCAAGGCAACGAUGCAUAGCCGACCUGAGAGGGUGAUCGGCCACACUGGAACUGAGACACGGUCCAGACUCCUACGGGAGGCAGCAGUAGGGAAUCUUCCGCAAUGGGCGAAAGCUUGACGGAGCAACGCCGCGUGAGUGAUGAAGGUCUUCGGAUCGUAAAACUCUGUUAUUAGGGAAGAACAUAUGUGUAAGUAACUGUGCACAUCUUGACGGUACCUAAUCAGAAAGCCACGGCUAACUACGUG